GGGGGGAGGCCGGAUCUUGGGCUGUGUCCUGGCGCCCUGUGCUGCGGGGCCUGCGCUGUGGGAUUCCCGCUGCCCGAGCCCCUCCGAGCUGCUC
This 94-nucleotide microRNA precursor is filed under the name Canis lupus familiaris (dog). RNAcentral describes it as "mir-8799 microRNA precursor family". It matches the Rfam family "mir-8799 microRNA precursor family". The record is from Rfam by way of RNAcentral. RNAcentral also lists the same sequence under 1 other name. Lineage: Eukaryota; Metazoa; Chordata; Mammalia; Carnivora; Canidae.